AUACGUAGGGGGCGAGCGUUGUCCGGAAUUAUUGGGCGUAAAGGGCGUGUAGACGGUCAUAUAAGUUACAGGUGAAAGCCCAUUUUUCAAGGAUGGAACUGCCUGUAAGACUGUAAGACUUGAGUGCAGGAGAGGGAAGCGGAAUUCCAAGUGUAGCGGUGAAAUGCGUAGAUAUUUGGAGGAACACCAGUGGCGAAGGCGGCUUUCUGGACUGCAACUGACGUUGAGGCGCGAAAGCGUGGGGAGCGAACAGGAUUAGAUACCCUGGUAGUCCACGCUGUAAACGAUGGAUGCUAGGUGUGGGGGGUAUCGACCCCCUCCGUGCCGGAGUUAACGCAAUAAGCAUCCCGCCUGGGGAGUACGGCCGCAAGGUUGAAACUCAAAUGAAUUGACGGGG
This 397-nucleotide ribosomal RNA is filed under the name uncultured bacterium. Its description in RNAcentral is "partial 16S ribosomal RNA". It matches the Rfam family "Bacterial small subunit ribosomal RNA", at positions 523 to 918 of the family's 1533-position model. The record is from RNAcentral.